AGAACCCUGACACAUCUGCUUUUUAAACUCGGGGGGGUUGAUUCAGUCGCAACGCUAAAGCAGCCUAACUUCAAAUCUUCACGGUUUGUUUUUUACGGCAGUACCGUCUGUCCUCCCUGGAAGACCACCCUCCGCGUGUUUUUGGCGAUUCGUCCUGGCUCUUAACUGCCAGUUUUCUCAAUGAUUUAUAUUUCUGAAGCUUGUGAUUUUUGGUCCCCGCAAGUCUUAACGCAUCCGCUUUGCGCUUCCAUUUUUGGAGCGUGUCUUGUGUACGUCGCUGUCGACAGCUCGGCCUGUUUGUCCGGUGGAGCGGUUUCGUCUUGCCGUGUCCCGGGACAGCGUCCAGGGGACGCCGUGGUUUUUCGACACAGUGCCGGAGGAGGACCCUGGCAGGGACUCGUCAGUCUGUCGGAUUCAGCUCCAGAGCGUUUCCCCUCAGAGGCACAUUUACACCCCCGGGGGGGCCUGCCCCGCCAUGGAGAGGGGUGUCACGCUAACCGGCUGACGCGGGGGAAAGCGUCAGGACUCGCGAUCCUCGUCGAACGCGGUGCUGAGGCAGGCGGGGACACCAUCGCGCGCACAGCGCCUCCGUUACCCAGAAUGCACCGGGGGCACGUGCUGCCUCUCAGACCGCCUUCAUCCUGCUGGGCUGGGUGGCCGCGUGACCUUUGACCCUCCGUGACCUUUCAACCCAGUGGAAUGCGGAGUUGCGCCUCAAGGCUUCUUCUCUUCCAAAGUGGAGUGGCCAAGACGUGCGGACCAAGGCAAGCAAACUGUGUGGAAGUUUCUGGAAGAAGGCCCAGAUGCAGAGGCACCUCUUGGCCUCCGUCCAUCCAUACCGCCAUUUUGACAGCGCUGGCCAGUUAACGUCUGGAAACCGCCAUUUCUCCUGAACAGAAGGUGGCAGAGCUUGCUGCAGUGCGUCUUUACGACAGCGGCGUCCGUCGCGCUCUGCACCCCCAGCGCCUAUCCCAGCAUGCUUUAGGCGAGAGGCAGGAAUACACUCUGGACCGGUUGCAAAUUCGUCUUAGGUCACGCCCACCAUUCACUCACACACUCAUACCUACGGGCAAUUUAGACUCUCCAGUUAGCCUAACGCCUCUUUGGGCUGUGUGAGGGAACCCACGCGGAGACAGGGAGGGAUUUGAACCCGGGACCUUCUCGCUGUCAGGCGACAGCGUGUCCGUGUGUCACCCAUGUGUCGAAAGUGAAGAACGGAGUGUGUGAAUAAAACUGUUCACGUGAACAAAGUCCAA
Anguilla anguilla (European eel) is the source of this 1256-nucleotide long non-coding RNA. RefSeq lists it as uncharacterized. The record is from RefSeq and is a predicted model, not a curated record. The transcript is spliced from 4 exons. NCBI's taxonomy places the organism in Eukaryota, Metazoa, Chordata, Actinopteri, Anguilliformes, Anguillidae.